Molecule: RNase P RNA, 358 nt
Filed under: Sphingomonadales bacterium EhC05
Lineage: Bacteria; Pseudomonadati; Pseudomonadota; Alphaproteobacteria; Sphingomonadales
Description: Bacterial RNase P class A
Rfam family: Bacterial RNase P class A
About the family: Ribonuclease P (RNase P) is a ubiquitous endoribonuclease, found in archaea, bacteria and eukarya as well as chloroplasts and mitochondria.
Source: Rfam by way of RNAcentral
CCAGAGGGUCGGCCAGCCGCGACAAAAGUCGAGGAAAGUCCGGGCUCCACGAUUAGAAGGUGCCGGAUAACGUCCGGCCAGGGCAACUUGAGGGAAAGUGCAACAGAAAGCAGGUCGCGACGUCUUCGGGCCCGUGACAUUGAAAGGGUGCGGUAAGAGCGCACCGCGGGCUUGGUAACAAGCCUGGCAUGGUAAACCCCACCUGGAGCAAAACCAAAUAGGGGCGGUAUAUGGCUUUUUCGGCCUACUGCCCGGGUUGGUUGCUAGAACCAUAUAGCAAUAUAUGGUCGAGAUGAAUGGCUGGCUAUCCUUCCUUCGGGAAGGUGGACAGAACCCGGCUUACAGACCCUCUGGUAUU